GCGCGAUCACGGAGACGCGUCGACAACACGAAAUAUUGCUGAGAAAACGAGGCGCUAAUUUUCAAAAGCAGGAAUUUUGCGAGUGCUGAAGAUGAUGCCCAGAUGCUGUCACACCAUCCCAACCUUAUCCUGAUGGCCUUUACAAACUUCUGAGGAGAAAAUGAUGCGUUUCCCCACAGACGUUCAGACGGGGAAAAGACUUGCAGACACACCACCUGGAUCCCGGACUGGCAGGGACCGACACACUGCUUCAGAUGAAAAGUUCGACAAAUGGCUGCCCGACUCCCAUCG
Long non-coding RNA from Poeciliopsis prolifica (blackstripe livebearer), 291 nucleotides. RefSeq lists it as uncharacterized. The record is from RefSeq and is a predicted model, not a curated record. NCBI's taxonomy places the organism in Eukaryota, Metazoa, Chordata, Actinopteri, Cyprinodontiformes, Poeciliidae. The transcript has 3 exons.